CGUAGGGUCCAAGCGUUAUCCGGAAUUACUGGGCGUAAAGAGUUGCGUAGGUGGCAUAGUAAGCGAAUAGUGAAAUGACGGGGCUCAACCUCGUGUCCAUUAUUUGAACUGCUAAGCUAGAGAAUGAGAGAGGUCACUGGAAUUCCCUGUGUAGGAGUGAAAUCCGUAGAUAUAGGGAGGAACACCGAUGGCGUAGGCAGGUGACUGGCUCAUUUCUGACACUAAGGCACGAAAGCGUGGGUAGCAAACGGGAUUAGAUACCCCGGUAGUCCACGCCGUAAACUAUGGAUGCUAGCUGUUAUAGGUAGUCGACCCCCGUAGUAGCGAAGCUAACGCGUCAAGCAUCCCGCCUGUGGAGUACGAGCGCAAGCCUA
RNAcentral lists this ribosomal RNA (374 nucleotides) under uncultured organism. RNAcentral describes it as "bacterial SSU rRNA". It matches the Rfam family "Bacterial small subunit ribosomal RNA", at positions 526 to 896 of the family's 1533-position model. The record is from RNAcentral.